CAAACGCAAGUUGAAUUAAUUGCAUCGUGUGAUAGCAGUAGCACAUUCACGUAAUGUGCCACCAUCUUUGCAAUGCAAAGCACUUCUGCUACGGAUAGGCGAAAGAUCGCAAUGUAUGUAAGUCCUUCCUCAUCAUGUGAACAAUAGUUAAUUUAAUCUACAGUCAGUUUUUCAAGACAGUACCUACCACCGAGGAUGGGCCAAUUGAUCUGCUUCACUAUGUUCACGAACUCUGUGAUGUUGUUGAUCUCUGGAAUUCAAUUGAAAUACCUUUCAUGAUUUAUUGCUUUCAAUGCCGUCAAUAUCUUCAAUUCAAUUCUGCCUCUUGUUACCAACGAAGAAGGAGACAAGUUCGGAAAAUUUGCUGGCGAUGGUAUUUGGCUGGACGAAGAAAAAACGUCGCCUUUUUCUCUUUAUCAGUUUUUUUGAAAAUGCCAGAUUCUGAAGUCGAGAAUCUUCUCAAGUUGUUCAAGUUUUAUCCCACUGGAAGAAAUUGCAUUUCUCAUGGAACAACACAAAAAAUCACCAGAGAAGAGAAAAGCACAAACGAUUCUAGCUUAAGAUGUGACGCUUCUAGUCCAUUGAGAGGAGGGUCUAAAACAAGCCGAAAAAGUCACAAAAGCGCUCAACAAGGCAAAUUUUAAAGGACUAGGUGAAUUACAACUAAAUCCUAUCGUUAAGAUUUUUCCAGAGCCUAGACUAUCCAUUCUUGAUCUGGCACUAAAAGCUUAAUGUUUAACAAAAGAAACUCAUACGAUGAGAAUCAUCACAGCUGUAGGGUUCUAUAUCAAGCAAUAGCGAACUCAAAACUUCGCACUAACAUCACACUAACUCAUCACCACAAAUAUCACAUACCAUUUCUAUCUAUUAGUUCAAAAUGUUAAAUGUCUCCUUUUUGUUGGCAAGGAUGAGCAUAUGAAUAAAAACAAUUUGUUUAGCUUAUAUCCAUAUUCAAUUUUACAUUAAUUAAAAGUCAUUAAUAAUAAUAUUGUAUUCUUUUUUGUGAUAAAAAUAAACAAUUUGAAUCAUUAAACAUGUAGACUCCCUGGUUUGUUAAUCAUGUUUAUAUAUUUUUUUAAAUACAA
Molecule: long non-coding RNA, 1085 nt
Organism: Eupeodes corollae
Lineage: Eukaryota; Metazoa; Arthropoda; Insecta; Diptera; Syrphidae
Exons: 4
Source: RefSeq, a predicted model, not a curated record